This 436-nucleotide unclassified non-coding RNA is filed under the name uncultured fungus. Its description in RNAcentral is "partial contains 5.8S ribosomal RNA, internal transcribed spacer 2, and large subunit ribosomal RNA". The record is from RNAcentral. Lineage: Eukaryota; Fungi.
AACGCACAUUGCACUCUUUGGUAUUCCGGAGAGUAUGCCUGUUUCAGAACCUUGAAGCCAAAUCACCUCUGAAAUCUUUGUCUCGGAUGGGUCUGAGUGUAUGCGAUGACCGACUUCGAGCAUGGAUUGAAUGAAAGGUGGAGUUGAGACGUUUGACUGGGCCUGGGUGCCUGAUUAACGUCAAUGUCUUGAAAAACAGGGCUCGGCACUUUUAAACAGCUUCUGUUUGAAUGGCCAAAAGAUGUGUUGAUGAGGCGGUUGUCCUCUUUUCAUCAUCGAUCGGUCGAGUAAAACAGGUGAAAAGAGGUUUUGGGUGACGACUUAAAAAGUUAUGCGUGGCAUCGUCUCCAGGAAGAGCGGCUUGCUUUUGGUUUGUGAGCGAUGAAAUACCACACAGGUUGGUCUGAAAUCAAGCAAGAGGACCCGCUGAACUUAA